RNAcentral lists this ribosomal RNA (454 nucleotides) under uncultured bacterium. RNAcentral describes it as "bacterial SSU rRNA". It matches the Rfam family "Bacterial small subunit ribosomal RNA", at positions 340 to 786 of the family's 1533-position model. The record is from RNAcentral.
UACGGGAGGGCAGCAGUGGGGAAUAUUGCACAAUGGGCGCAAGCCUGAUGCAGCCAUGCCGCGUGUAUGAAGAAGGCCUUCGGGUUGUAAAGUACUUUCAGUCGUGAGGAAGGUGUUAAGGUUAAUAACCUUAGCAAUUGACGUUAGCGACAGAAGAAGCACCGGCUAACUCCGUGCCAGCAGCCGCGGUAAUACGGAGGGUGCGAGCGUUAAUCGGAAUUACUGGGCGUAAAGGGCACGCAGGCGGUUAAUUAAGUUGGAUGUGAAAUCCCCGGGCUUAACCUGGGAAUGGCAUUCAAGACUGGUUAGCUAGAGUCUUGUAGAGGGGGUAGAAUUCCGAUGUGUAGCGGUGAAAUGCGUAGAGAUGUGGAGGAAUACCGGUGGCGAAGGCGGCCCCUGGACAAGACUGACGCUCAUGUGCGAAAGCGUGGGGAGCAAACGAGGAUUAGAUACC